GGUGUGCUGCAGGUGGGAACUGGGGAAGCACUCAAGGACAUCAAGAUGGCAGCAGCAUAUAUGCAUGGUCAACCCAGUCCUUGUCAAGAAGAUGCAAAACUUAGAAGUCCAAUGGCCAUCAAAAUCAUACAAAAAACCACACAAACAAACUGAAUAUCUUACAAAAUAAACGACGUUAAAUGUAUAUGGAAUGGUGUUACUUGGAACAAAAACUGGUUUCUGGAGUAUUGGCAAACUUCAUUUACAGACACUGCUUCAAGUUUCUGAUACUUUGAAGACAUAUGCAUCAUUGACUGCACUUUGAUUUUAGCCUACUAAAAUUGCUUACAAACUCCUUGUAACUGAUGCUUUGUAUUCAGAUAAUAUAAGGAAGGAAAACUGUGUUCUCAGAAGUUCACUGAUUGGCAUAGCAUGUAUAGCCCAGUGUUUGUUUUUUACUAAAAAUGGACAUCUGACACCAUCAAGUAUCAUGCUGUUCCACUGCCAUUAAAAGGAAGGAUUUUACUCCAUUGAUUACUGCUUUGUCAAACAGAGGUGAAAACAAUGGUAAUUCCUCUAGUCUUUUAGACAAUGAUUGGAUUAUUACAUUAUGCAGUAUUUGGAAGGACACUUGA
Molecule: long non-coding RNA, 614 nt
Filed under: Homo sapiens (human)
Lineage: Eukaryota; Metazoa; Chordata; Mammalia; Primates; Hominidae
Description: non-protein coding lnc-ALDH1A1-9:1
Source: RNAcentral